GAGGACAUAGCUCAAGUGGUAGAGCGUGUGCUUAGCAUGCACGAGGUCCUGGGUUCAAUCCCCAUACCUCCA
RNAcentral lists this transfer RNA (72 nucleotides) under Camelus bactrianus (Bactrian camel). It matches the Rfam family "tRNA". Rfam says of the family: Transfer RNA (tRNA) molecules are approximately 80 nucleotides in length. Their secondary structure includes four short double-helical elements and three loops (D, anti-codon, and T loops). Lineage: Eukaryota; Metazoa; Chordata; Mammalia; Artiodactyla; Camelidae. RNAcentral also lists the same sequence under 2 other names. The record is from Rfam by way of RNAcentral.